AAGCAAGAUAGAGGUGCAAAGGACAAGAGUAAAAAUAUCUAGCUUGGCAGGCGUUAUGAUAUUUUGAAAGGGGAAUUUGCCGAAAUAAAAGAGAGAGCUGAACUCUUUUGUUGGCAGUGUGGAGAAUAUCUACAAUGUUGUCAUUGAAAAAUUUCAAUGGAGAGCUAUCUGUGAA
Molecule: non-coding RNA, 175 nt
Organism: Fusobacterium mortiferum ATCC 9817
Lineage: Bacteria; Fusobacteriati; Fusobacteriota; Fusobacteriia; Fusobacteriales; Fusobacteriaceae
Source: Rfam